UACGGAGGGUGCAAGCGUUGUUCGGAAUCGCUGGGCGUAAAGGGCGCGCAGGCGGCCUGAUUAGUCAGAUGUGAAAGCCCACGGCUUAACUGUGGAAGUGCAUUUGAAACUGUCAGGCUUGAGUACCAGAGGGGAAAGUGGAAUUCCCGGUGUAGAGGUGAAAUUCGUAGAUAUCGGGAGGAAUACCGGUGGCGAAGGCGACUUUCUGGCUGGAUACUGACGCUGAGGCGCGAAAGCGUGGGGAGGCAAACAGGAUUAGAUACCCUGGUA
RNAcentral lists this ribosomal RNA (270 nucleotides) under uncultured prokaryote. RNAcentral describes it as "partial 16S ribosomal RNA". It matches the Rfam family "Bacterial small subunit ribosomal RNA", at positions 524 to 792 of the family's 1533-position model. The record is from RNAcentral.